GAACGCUGGCGGCGUGCCUAAUACAUGCAAGUCGAGCGGAUGACGGGGAGCUUGCUCCCCUGAUUCAGCGGCGGACGGGUGAGUAACACGUGGGCAACCUGCCUGUAAGAUCGGGAUAACUCCGGGAAACCGGGGCUAAUACCGGAUGGUUCCUUCCUCCGCAUGGAGGAAGGCGGAAAGACGGUUUCGGCUGUCACUUACAGAUGGGCCCGCGGCGCAUUAGCUAGUUGGUGGGGUAAUGGCCCACCAAGGCAACGAUGCGUAGCCGACCUGAGAGGGUGAUCGGCCACACUGGGACUGAGACACGGCCCAGACUCCUACGGGAGGCAGCAGUAGGGAAUCUUCCGCAAUGGACGAAAGUCUGACGGAGCAACGCCGCGUGAGCGAAGAAGGCCUUCGGGUCGUAAAGCUCUGUUGUAAGGGAAGAACAAGCGCCGGUUAACUGCCGGUGCCCUGACGGUACCUUACCAGAAAGCCACGGCUAACUACGUGCCAGCAGCCGCGGUAAUACGUAGGUGGCAAGCGUUGUCCGGAAUNAUUGGGCGUAAAGCGCGCGCAGGCGGUUUCUUAAGUCUGAUGUGAAAGCCCACGGCUCAACCGUGGAGGGUCAUUGGAAACUGGGAGACUUGAGUGCAGAAGAGGAAAGCGGAAUUCCACGUGUAGCGGUGAAAUGCGUAGAGAUGUGGAGGAACACCAGUGGCGAAGGCGGCUUUCUGGUCUGUAACUGACGCUGAGGCNCGAAAGCGUGGGGGAGCAAACAGGGAUUAGAUACCCNUGGUAGUNCCACGCCGUAAACNAUGAGUGCUAGGUGUNAGGGGGUUUCCGCCCCUUNAGUGCUGCAGCUAACGGCAUUAAGCACUCCGCCUGGGGGAGUACNGGCCGCANNGCUGAAACUNAAAGGAAAUUGACGGGGACCCGNANAAGCNGNGGAANCAUGUGGNUUAANUCGAAGCAACCCGAAAA
RNAcentral lists this ribosomal RNA (963 nucleotides) under uncultured Bacillus sp. RNAcentral describes it as "bacterial SSU rRNA". It matches the Rfam family "Bacterial small subunit ribosomal RNA", at positions 31 to 967 of the family's 1533-position model. The record is from RNAcentral. Lineage: Bacteria; Bacillati; Bacillota; Bacilli; Caryophanales; Bacillaceae.